AUUGAACGCUGGCGGCAGGCCUAACACAUGCAAGUCGAGCGGAUGAAGGGAGCUUGCUCCUGGAUUCAGCGGCGGACGGGUGAGUAAUGCCUAGGAAUCUGCCUGGUAGUGGGGGAUACCGUCCGGAAACGGGCGCUAAUACCGCAUACGUCCUGAGGGAGAAAGUGGGGGAUCUUCGGACCUCACGCUAUCAGAUGCGCCUAGGUCGGAUUAGCUAGUUGGUGGGGUAAAGGCCUACCAAGGCGACGAUCCGUAACUGGUCUGAGAGGAUGAUCAGUCACACUGGAACUGAGACACGGUCCAGAGUCCUACGGGAGGCAGCAGUGGGGAAUAUUGGACAAUGGGCGAAAGCCUGAUCCAGCCAUGCCGCGUGUGUGAAGAAGGUCUUCGGAUUGUAAAGCACUUUAAGUUGGGAGGAAGGGCAGUAAGUUAAUACCUUGCUGUUUUGACGUUACCAACAGAAUAAGCACCGGCUAACUUCGUG
This 484-nucleotide ribosomal RNA is filed under the name uncultured bacterium. RNAcentral describes it as "partial 16S ribosomal RNA". It matches the Rfam family "Bacterial small subunit ribosomal RNA", at positions 30 to 507 of the family's 1533-position model. The record is from RNAcentral.